GGCCAGUUAGCUCCGUGGUUUGAGCGCGGUACUGACAACAAUGACCGACACCGAGGUCGCGGGUUCAAUUCCCGCUCCGUCCC
RNAcentral lists this transfer RNA (83 nucleotides) under Apaloderma vittatum (bar-tailed trogon). It matches the Rfam family "tRNA". Rfam says of the family: Transfer RNA (tRNA) molecules are approximately 80 nucleotides in length. The record is from Rfam by way of RNAcentral. Lineage: Eukaryota; Metazoa; Chordata; Aves; Trogoniformes; Trogonidae.